RNAcentral lists this ribosomal RNA (253 nucleotides) under uncultured bacterium. RNAcentral describes it as "partial 16S ribosomal RNA". It matches the Rfam family "Bacterial small subunit ribosomal RNA", at positions 524 to 776 of the family's 1533-position model. The record is from RNAcentral.
UACGGAGGUGGCAAGCGUUGCUCGGAAUCACUGGGCGUAAAGGGCGCGUAGGCGGGGAGGUAAGUCGGGUGUGAAAUCCCUCGGCCCAACCGAGGAACUGCGCCCGAGACUGCUUCUCUUGAGUCCCGGAGAGGAAGAUGGAAUUCCCGGUGUAGCGGUGGAAUGCGUAGAGAUCGGGAAGAACAUCAGUGGCGAAGGCGGCCUGCUGGGCUGUUGCUGACGCUGAGGCGCGACAGCGUGGGGAGCAAACAGG